ACGCUCGACACCUACGGGAGGCAGCAGUGGGGAAUAUUGCACAAUGGGGGAAACCCUGAUGCAGCGACGCCGCGUGAGCGAAGAAGUAUUUCGGUAUGUAAAGCUCUAUCAGCAGGGAAGAUCAUGACGGUACCUGACUAAGAAGCUCCGGCUAAAUACGUGCCGGCAGCCGCGGUAAUCUGAGCGGGCUGGCAAGGC
This 198-nucleotide ribosomal RNA is filed under the name uncultured bacterium. RNAcentral's name for it is "partial 16S ribosomal RNA". It matches the Rfam family "Bacterial small subunit ribosomal RNA", at positions 328 to 539 of the family's 1533-position model. The record is from RNAcentral.